CGGGUUGUGUGGGUUGGCGGGCUCCGUGCUUCGGCAUCGAACCGUCCGCCCAUGCGCCGCGUCAGUUAUGCAUCGAGACUUUCUCGUGCUCCAAAGAGAUUCCUGUAUUUGCUACCUAUGCUUAAAGGAAUGGCGCCUCUCGUUUACCCUUUCCCCCCCCAGACCAUGCGGUUAGGGGAGGACAUCGCGGUAGCGCCUGUGCCCCCUCGCAUUGAACAUGCUCUAAGGCAUGCCGCCUUGCGACGGCUCUCAGGUUGUUACUUGAUGCUUCGGAUACGGAACAUUCGGCGGGCUUGGGUGUCUUCACACCUUUGAAGUCCAAAUUCAAGCGUUUUGUCGCUAGACAUGUACGACUGUCAUGCUCGUUGCGGGUCUCCCGCGCGGUGCAUGGCGUCGGCAAAGGAAUGCUACCUGGUU
This 417-nucleotide unclassified non-coding RNA is filed under the name Potentilla indica. Its description in RNAcentral is "partial external transcribed spacer". Lineage: Eukaryota; Viridiplantae; Streptophyta; Magnoliopsida; Rosales; Rosaceae. The record is from RNAcentral.